AUCCAGACUCCUACGGGAGGCAGCAGUGGGGGAUAUUGCACAAUGGGGGAAACCCUGAUGCAGCGACGCCGCGUGAGUGAAGAAGUAUUUCGGUAUGUAAAGCUCUAUCAGCAGGGAAGAAGAUGACAGUACCUGAGUAAGAAGCCCCGGCUAACUACGUGCCAGCAGCCGCGGUAAUACGUAGGGGGCAAGCGUUAUCCGGAUUUACUGGGUGUAAAGGGGGCGCAGACGGCGAUGCAAGCCAGGAGUGAAAGCCCGGGGCCCAACCCCGGGACUGCUCUUGGAACUGCGUGGCUGGAGUGCAGGAGGGGCAGGCGGAAUUCCUGGUGUAGCGGUGAAAUGCGUAGAUAUCAGGAGGAACACCGGUGGCGAAGGCGGCCUGCUGGACUGCAACUGACGUUGAGGCCCGAAAGCGUGGGGAGCAAACAGGAUUAGAUACCCCAGUAA
This 447-nucleotide ribosomal RNA is filed under the name uncultured bacterium. RNAcentral's name for it is "bacterial SSU rRNA". It matches the Rfam family "Bacterial small subunit ribosomal RNA", at positions 329 to 793 of the family's 1533-position model. The record is from RNAcentral.